This is a long non-coding RNA of Dalotia coriaria, 398 nucleotides long. RefSeq lists it as uncharacterized. Lineage: Eukaryota; Metazoa; Arthropoda; Insecta; Coleoptera; Staphylinidae. The record is from RefSeq and is a predicted model, not a curated record. The transcript is spliced from 2 exons.
GUAAGCAUGCGCUCAUGUUUAUUUCCAUACCUUGAUGUUUAUGUAAGUCAUACCUAUCCAAGUGGGAAUAAUAUCAUCAACAGAUUACUGGUUAGCAGUUAAUUUGUAGCUACGUUAGAGAAAAGUUGAAUUUUUGAUUAAAAUGUCGUGUUUUGGCUUCUGUCGUUCCAAAACCAAGGAAGUAGAUACAAACAUUUCAUCGUAUACAUUGGAUAAAAUUGAUGAUUACGACAUUCCAGCAGAAAUUUAUCUGAAAAAGUAUCAAAAGCAAAGUGAUGACCGUAAUAUUUCCGCAUCAAACGCAUCUUAAAAAGAUGUAUACUUUAAAAUCAUUAAUUAAUUAAGGAAAUUGUAUUUCACAUCUACGAGUAUUGAAUAAUAAAUGUAUAUUAAGUGAA